UUCUUCCUUUUGCCUCAUCAAGCACGGGGGACACUGGAAGGAAGAGGCUCCAGGGACCUACGUGACUUCCUAUUCAUGCUGAUCCCACUGAGACCCUUAUCUACCAUGUGCCUCUUGGAUCUGCCUUAUGUUCCAGGAACUAAUGUUCACUGCAGAGAACAUCAGGUUGCAUCAAGGAACAUACAUACACAGAAGUCA
RNAcentral lists this non-coding RNA (198 nucleotides) under Pongo abelii (Sumatran orangutan). The record is from RNAcentral. Lineage: Eukaryota; Metazoa; Chordata; Mammalia; Primates; Hominidae.